UGGCGCCUUCGGUGUCCGAGUUGUAAUUUGAAGAAGGUAACUUUGGUUUUGGCUCUUGUCUAUGUUCCUUGGAACAGGACGUCACAGAGGGUGAGAAUCCCGUGCGAUGAGAUGCCCAAUUCCAUGUAAAGUGCUUUCGAAGAGUCGAGUUGUUUGGGAAUGCAGCUCUAAGUGGGUGGUAAAUUCCAUCUAAAGCUAAAUAUUGGCGAGAGACCGAUAGCGAACAAGUACAGUGAUGGAAAGAUGAAAAGAACUUUGAAAAGAGAGUGAAAAAGUACGUGAAAUUGUUGAAAGGGAAGGGUUUGAGAUCAGACUUGGUAUUUUGUAUGUUUUACUCUCGGGUGAGGCCUCUGCAGUUUACUGGGCCAGCAUCAGUUUGGAUGGUAGGAUAAUGACAUUG
RNAcentral lists this ribosomal RNA (400 nucleotides) under Scheffersomyces coipomensis. Its description in RNAcentral is "eukaryotic LSU rRNA". It matches the Rfam family "Eukaryotic large subunit ribosomal RNA", at positions 123 to 530 of the family's 3401-position model. Lineage: Eukaryota; Fungi; Ascomycota; Pichiomycetes; Serinales; Debaryomycetaceae. The record is from RNAcentral.